CAGGACGGGAUUGUAUUUCUUCCCCCACCCCCCCUUAUUUGUAAUUUCAGGAGCGUGAUCUCGUUCCCAUCGUGGAGAUGCAGCGGAAUGGCUUGCGUGACUCGAAUGCUGUUGUGGAUGUUCUGUUCUCUUCAGGAGAGACAGACAGGUGAAGGAGGAGCCAAUGAGGAGAGAAAUGCUGGCGGAGCUCUUACUCUGUAUUGAGGAAGGACUGACUGGGGAUGCAAAGACCGAGGGGACCUGAAGCGCAACAGCUGUGAGAUGGUGGAGUUUGGAAUCUCAGUCAGAAGAUGCAAAGCAAUAAGUAGGUUUGAAACACCAGACUUUGAGGGAGCAACUUUGUCCUCUUAAAGGAUCUGCCUGGAGGUAUCUGUUGGGUUGCAGCAUCAGAAGGGGUCCUGCUAGUGGUUCUUGAUUCAUGCAUUACUGCUUCUGUGCUCAGUAGGGUGCAUGCCUGAGAGUAAGAAAUGGAGCAGGAAAGGCAGGAGACCUGCAGGAGCAAAUGAGGAGGUCACAGAUAAACUUGAAGAAGAAAAGGAAGGCUAAGGCCCCCUUAGUAUCACCUUUGUGGAGGAAGGUGAAGGCUAACAGGCAAGGUGCCUGAGGACUCGUGGGUAGCCAGCAUCACUGCAGCCUUCAGAAAGGGUGAGAAGGAGGGCCUGCGCAACUGUAGGCUGUUCAGGAUCACCUCCCUCCCUGGCACUGAAAUGGGACAGCUUGUUCUGGAUGUCAUCUCUAAGGAGCGGUCAUGGUGG
RNAcentral lists this long non-coding RNA (755 nucleotides) under Gallus gallus (chicken). Its description in RNAcentral is "long non-coding RNA NONGGAT008039". Lineage: Eukaryota; Metazoa; Chordata; Aves; Galliformes; Phasianidae. The record is from RNAcentral.